Molecule: ribosomal RNA, 275 nt
Filed under: uncultured bacterium
Lineage: Bacteria
Description: partial 16S ribosomal RNA
Rfam family: Bacterial small subunit ribosomal RNA
Source: RNAcentral
GCGUGAGUGAUGAAGGCCUUAGGGUUGUAAAGCUCUUUUACCCGGGAUGAUAAUGACAGUACCGGGAGAAUAAGCUCCGGCUAACUCCGUGCCAGCAGCCGCGGUAAUACGGAGGGAGCUAGCGUUGUUCGGAAUUACUGGGCGUAAAGCGCACGUAGGCGGCUUAUCAAGUCAGGGGUGAAAUCCCGGGGCUCAACCCCGGAACCGCCUCUGAAACUGGCAAGCUAGAAUCUUGGAGAGGUCAGUGGAAUUCCGAGUGUAGAGGUGAAAUUCGU